AUUGAACGCUGGCGGCAUGCCUUACACAUGCAAGUCGAACGGCAGCACGGGAGCAAUCCUGGUGGCGAGUGGCGAACGGGUGAGUAAUAUAUCGGAACGUGCCCAGUCGUGGGGGAUAACGCAGCGAAAGCUGUGCUAAUACCGCAUACGAUCUACGGAUGAAAGCGGGGGACCGCAAGACCUCGCGCGAUUGGAGCGGCCGAUAUCAGAUUAGCUAGUUGGUGGGGUAAAAGCCCACCAAGGCGACGAUCUGUAGCUGGUCUGAGAGGACGACCAGCCACACUGGAACUGAGACACGGCCCAGACUCCUACGGGAGGCAGCAGUGGGGAAUUUUGGACAAUGGGCGCAAGCCUGAUCCAGCAAUGCCGCGUGCAGGAUGAAGGCCUUCGGGUUGUAAACUGCUUUUGUACGGAACGAAACGGCUCUUUCUAAUAAAGAGGGCUAAUGACGGUACCGUAAGAAUAAGCACCGGCUAACUACGUGCCAGCCGCCGCAGUAA
Molecule: ribosomal RNA, 500 nt
Filed under: uncultured bacterium
Lineage: Bacteria
Description: partial 16S ribosomal RNA
Rfam family: Bacterial small subunit ribosomal RNA
Source: RNAcentral